GAAUUAUUUAAUCCUGCUUUGGCGUUAAGACUGAUUAUUUCUGAGGCAAGAUUAGAGUCCGACUUCAGUUGCAGCAAGGGUGAUUCACUUCAGCCUUCAGAAACUGACAGAAACCUGAGACUUCUGUCGUUCCCGUGAAGAACUGUGAAGAACUUCUAUAUCACGAUUACACAUUUGAGAAAAAUGAAGAGAAUAUUAACUACAAAGGAUUUUUUAAUGGUAUAUUUUAUGAAGGCAAGACAAGACUAUGUAUUUUUAAGGCUCUUACUGUGCUGCUCACUGUAGUCUCAAACUCAUCUCUGAAACCAUGCUGCCUCUUCACAUCAUGAGAAGCUAACAUACAGAUGCAAACCACAACACUCAGCUGAUGGUCACCACAGAAGCCAUAAUUCCCCCAGCAUCAUGUGAAGCUCACAACAGACACAGACCGCCACUUGCUGCUGAUGGUAUUGUAAAACUACAUGGUCUCUGACUUUCAUUUUUGAAUUUUGAUUGUCUGUGUAUAAAAUCAAUUAGAAAUUUAGAUUUUCUCAUGUAGUAUUGGUUUGCUGAGUUAGGAUUAGACUUGGUCAUAUUCAUAAUUCCUUGUUUUCUAUACAUUACAAAAUCAUUUUCUUUGCAUUAAGCAUCACAUACUUAAGAAGCAAAAGACCUAGUAUUAAUAUUCUUAUAUAAUCUUCCCAAGAGUGCCGUCAUUUCUUUUCUCCAACUUCUCUCAGAUUCAUCCCAAGUGCAAACAAACUUCAGAUACUCUAGAUUAAGUGGGAGCACUAAAGCUGACUCACUUCCACAUUCUCUAUCCCUUUCUUCACUACCAAAGUAGAGUAAAAGUAAAUAAAUGAAAAUCAAAAUAGCA
Molecule: long non-coding RNA, 856 nt
Filed under: Mus spicilegus (steppe mouse)
Lineage: Eukaryota; Metazoa; Chordata; Mammalia; Rodentia; Muridae
Description: lncRNA (ENSMSIG00000032143.1)
Source: RNAcentral